AGUCUUAUAUUCAACAAUGAUUUUAAAUUGCAAAUUUAAAGGAGGAUUUUACCCUAAGGCUU
Molecule: transfer RNA, 62 nt
Filed under: Ochthebius nobilis
Lineage: Eukaryota; Metazoa; Arthropoda; Insecta; Coleoptera; Hydraenidae
Description: tRNA-Cys
Source: RNAcentral